This 2086-nucleotide ribosomal RNA is filed under the name human gut metagenome. RNAcentral describes it as "bacterial LSU rRNA". It matches the Rfam family "Bacterial large subunit ribosomal RNA", at positions 754 to 2925 of the family's 2925-position model. The record is from RNAcentral.
AAGUAAAAUUCCAUGGAGGACCGAACCGACCUCCGUUGAAAAGGCGGCGGAUGAACUGUGGGUAGCGGAGAAAUUCCAAUCGAACCCGGAGAUAGCUGGUUCUCCCCGAAAUAGUUUUAGGACUAGCCUCAAGUUAGAUACCUGGAGGUAAAGCACUGAAUAGCCUAGCGGCCGAGAGGUUAGCGAAGCUUAUCAAACUCAGAAUGCCAGAGUAUUGAUGCUUGGGAGUCAGACAGUGUCAGAUAAAUGUCAUUGUCAAAAGGGAAACAGCCCAGAUCUACAGCUAAGGUCCCAAAGUCAGGUUAAGUGGAAAACGAUGUGAAGAUACGCAGACAACCAGGAUGUUGGCUCAGAAGCAGCCACUCAUUCAAAGAGUGCGUAAUAGCUCACUGGUCGAGCGUCUUUGCGCGGAGAAUUUAACGGGGCUAAACCUGACACCGAAGCUUAGGCAAUCCAGUAAUGGAUUGGGUAGGGGAGCGUUGUAUACGCGGAGAAACAGUAGCGUAAGCGGCUGUGGAGUGUAUAGAAGUGAGAAUGCCGGAAUGAGUAGCGCGAAUGCAGUGAGAAUCUGCAUGGCCGAAAGCCUCAGGUUUUUGGAGGAAGGUUCGUCCGCUCCAAGUUAGUCGGGAGCUAAGGUGAGGCCGGAAGGCGUAGCCGAUGCACAGACGGUAGAGAUUCCGUCACCACCAAAAGAGUUAAGCACAGGGACACAUUUGAAGUCUCAGAGCCGGGUGUUGGUUCCGGUAGAGAUCGAGGGAAAUUAGUACCGAAGUCUGAGAUGGAAGAUGGCGAGAAAAGCUGUGUGUAUUUCUGAGGUGCCCGUACCGCAAACCGACACAGGUAGGUAGGAAGAAGAUUCUAAGGCCAACGGGAGAAGGGUUGUUAAGGAACUCGGCAAAUUGACCCCGUAACUUCGGGAGAAGGGGUGCUCCAGAGAUGGAGCCGCAGAGAAUCGGCCCAAGCAACUGUUUACCAAAAACACAGGUUUGUGCUAAAUCGAAAGAUGACGUAUACGAGCUGACGCCUGCCCGGUGCUGGAAGGUUAAGAGGAGAUGUGCAAGCAUUGAAUCGAAGCCCCAGUGAACGGCGGCCGUAACUAUAACGGUCCUAAGGUAGCGAAAUUCCUUGUCAGGUAAGUUCUGACCCGCAUGAAAGGCGUAAUGAUUUGGGCACUGUCUCAACAGCCCGCCCGGCGAAAUUGUAGUACCGGUGAAGAUGCCGGUUACCCGCGACAAGACGGAAAGACCCCAUGGAGCUUUACUGUAGCCUAAUAUUGGGUUUCGAUGUUGCAUGCACAGGAUAGAUGGGACACUAGGAAACAAUCGCUUUGGCGGUUGCGGAGUGGCCGUUGGGAUACCAUCCUUGCGAUAUUGGAAUUCUAACCUGCGGCUCUGAAUCGAGUCGGGGGACAUUGUUAGGUGGGCAGUUUGACUGGGGCGGUCGCCUCCUAAAAAGUAACGGAGGCGUUCAAAGGUUCGCUCAGCUUGAACGGAAAUCAAGCAAAAGAGUGCAAACGCAGAAGCGAGCCUAACUGCGAGACUGACGGGUCGAGCAGUAACGAAAGUUGGAGUUAGUGAUCCGGUGGUAUGUGAGUGGAAAUGCCAUCGCUCAACGGAUAAAAGUUACCCUGGGGAUAACAGGCUGAUCUCCCCCAAGAGUCCACAUCGACGGGGAGGUUUGGCACCUCGAUGUCGGCUCAUCGCAUCCUGGGGCUGUAUUCGGUCCCAAGGGUUUGGCUGUUCGCCAAUUAAAGCGGUACGCGAGCUGGGUUCAGAACGUCGUGAGACAGUUCGGUCCCUAUCUGUCGUGGGCGCAGGAUAUUUGAUGGGAGCUGUCCCUAGUACGAGAGGACCGGGACGGACGUACCUCUGGCGCACCAGUUGUUCCGCCAGGAGCAUAGCUGGGCAACUACGUACGGAUCGGAUAAACGCUGAAAGCAUCUAAGCGUGAAGCCGACCCAAAGAUAAGAUAUCCCAUUGUUUUAAACAAGUAAGACCCCUUGAAGACUACAAGGUUGAUAGGCACGAUGUGUAAGUGGAGCGAUCCAUUCAGCAAGCGUGUACUAAUAGGUCGAGGGCUUGACCAC